RNAcentral lists this transfer RNA (69 nucleotides) under Panulirus cygnus (western rock lobster). Its description in RNAcentral is "tRNA-Met". Lineage: Eukaryota; Metazoa; Arthropoda; Malacostraca; Decapoda; Palinuridae. The record is from RNAcentral.
AAAAAGAUAAGCUAAUUUAAGCUAAUGGGCUCAUACCCCAUCUAUGUGAGUCUAGCCUCACUCUUUUUA